RNAcentral lists this long non-coding RNA (846 nucleotides) under Chinchilla lanigera (long-tailed chinchilla). RNAcentral's name for it is "lncRNA (ENSCLAG00000025159.1)". Lineage: Eukaryota; Metazoa; Chordata; Mammalia; Rodentia; Chinchillidae. The record is from RNAcentral.
GCCCUUUGGAAUUGGUGCUCAGUCAUGUACUGAGUGCCCACCACUGGCCCCCAGUAACUUUGCUUGUCUCUGCAUCUGGCCUCCGUGGGUGACUCGAUUAAAUAAGUACCUUUGCCGCAACAAAAGCAGCAAAGCAGUGGAAGACCAGCACAAAUGCUGCAAAUCAAGGCUUUCUCAUCUGGCAUCCUAGGCUUCCUCUUACAAAUGAACAGACAGGAAGUGUGCCUUUCUCUCCCUCAGCAGCAGUGACAGAGUUGGAAAUCUUUGCACAGAGGCUAAGACUGCGGCUCUGUACAUCUGUCGCUGUUACAUCUGGAGCAGGAGGCAGGGCAGUAGAGGAAAGCUGGGCAGAGGAGGAAAGUGAGCCAGCAAGUGGCUAGGUAACCCAUCCAAGGCCACUCAAGAACGUGACCACUGGCCAAAGGGGGCUCUGCCCAGCGUGCUUCUUUCUUCCUCCCGGCCCGGUGCGCCCUGCCGGUCUGCAGAUCGAAGGCCAACUCUCAGCUCCUCAGCAAUGCUGCCUGCUGCCCUCCAAGGAGGUCAGAUUCUCCUCCCGGGAUGUCACAGGAGCCUCUGCCUCUCUUCCCCGACGGUUGUCACGGUUGGAAUGUGGCAGUGAUGUGUGUGUGUCUUAAUGACUGUCUCUUCUCUCCACUGGGGAUGUUAAGCUCUUAAAAUGAGCCUGUCCUACCUUGAACACCGAAGGACAUGGAGAGGGCAGUGCUAUGUAUUGAAUAAAAGGAAAGAGACUUGAUUGUUUUUAUUGCUCACUGUGGUCCCCAGUGGCUCUCUGGGUGCUGCAUCACUGGAAGAGACCAGAUUAAGGAUUAGAGAGGGGAUAAAAAU